This 253-nucleotide ribosomal RNA is filed under the name uncultured bacterium. RNAcentral describes it as "partial 16S ribosomal RNA". It matches the Rfam family "Bacterial small subunit ribosomal RNA", at positions 524 to 776 of the family's 1533-position model. The record is from RNAcentral.
GACGUAGGAGGCGAGCGUUGUCCGGAUUCAUUGGGCGUAAAGAGCGCGCAGGCGGCUUGGUAAGUCGGAUGUGAAAUCCCGAGGCUCAACCUCGGGUCUGCAUCCGAUACUGCCCGGCUAGAGGUAGGUAGGGGAGAUCGGAAUUCCUGGUGUAGCGGUGAAAUGCGCAGAUAUCAGGAGGAACACCGGUGGCGAAGGCGGAUCUCUGGGCCAUUACUGACGCUGAGGAGCGAAAGCGUGGGGAGCGAACAGG